This 432-nucleotide long non-coding RNA is filed under the name Zosterops lateralis melanops. RNAcentral's name for it is "lncRNA (ENSZLMG00000002976.1)". Lineage: Eukaryota; Metazoa; Chordata; Aves; Passeriformes; Zosteropidae. The record is from RNAcentral.
AAGCAGUGAAAGCAGACUUUCCUUUCCUGUAGUCAACUUUUGCUGCCUAACUUUUAAAACUACAGCUGGUUUGGUGGUAGGGGAAGAAUCUCAUGCGGUGCAUUAGUGCUGAAAUGUAUAAUAAACUUUUUCAAGGAGGAUUCUAGAACAUACCUGUGGAGCUGCAGCUUCUCUUUCUCCAAGCUCUGCCAAAGGUAUGAGCUGUUAUGUAGCAAUUGCAUGUGAAGAGAAGACAGAAUACAAGUUGUUGUCAGAAGAGCCUGUCCUAAACUGGGCCUGAAAAUUCAUCCAGCUGACUCGUGUGAGUAGUCUGAAAGCAAGGGGAAGGAGUGCAUUACUGGGAAACCUUAUCCUGACUUGAGGCACUAAAAUCACAUCUGUCUCUAUCACUUGUAGUGAAGGAGUUUUCAUCCUAGCAGCAGCCUGCCUGGG